UGGGUGGUAAUGCCGGAUGUUCCACAUGAGCGCAUGCGAGUGUGGGAAAGGCUUUUUGCGGCAUGGGAUGGGGUCGCGUCCUAUCAGCUUGUUGGUGGGGUAACGGCCUACCAAGGCGUUGACGGGUAGCCGGCCUGAGAGGGCGACCGGCCACAUUGGGACUGAGAUACGGCCCAGACUCCUACGGGAGGCAGCAGUGGGGAAUAUUGCACAAUGGGCGCAAGCCUGAUGCAGCGACGCCGCGUGCGGGAUGGAGGCCUUCGGGUUGUAAACCGCUUUUGUUCAAGGGCAAGGCAGGCUUUCGGGCCUGUUGAGUGGAUUGUUCGAAUAAGCACCGGCUAACUACGUGCCAGCAGCCGCGGUAAUACGUAGGGUGCUAAGCGUUAUCCGGAUUUAUUGGGCGUAAAGGGCUCGUAGGCGGUUCGUCGCGUCCGGUGUGAAAGAUCCAUCGCUUAACGGUGGACCUGCGCCGGGUACGGGCGGAUAGUGCAGCCGCAAGACGGAAUUCCGGGUGACCCCCCGUGCCCCCGCC
RNAcentral lists this ribosomal RNA (532 nucleotides) under uncultured Bifidobacterium sp. Its description in RNAcentral is "bacterial SSU rRNA". It matches the Rfam family "Bacterial small subunit ribosomal RNA", at positions 157 to 698 of the family's 1533-position model. Lineage: Bacteria; Bacillati; Actinomycetota; Actinomycetes; Bifidobacteriales; Bifidobacteriaceae. The record is from RNAcentral.